UUAUGGCUCAGGAUGAACGCUGGCGGCGUGCUUAAUACAUGCAAGUCGAACGGACAAAGUCAGAAAGCUUGCUUCUGAUCGAGUUAGUGGCGAACGGGUGAGUAAUACGUAGGCAACCUGCCCCAAAGCGGGGGAUAGCUGUUGGAAACGACGAUUAAUACCGCAUAGGUAAUCGGGAGGCAUCUUCUGAUUAUUAAAGGUGCGUUUGCACCGCUGUGGGAUGGGCUUACGCUGUAUUAGCUUGUUGGUGAGGUAACGGCCCACCAAGGCGAUGAUACAUAGCCGGUCUGAGAGGAUGAACGGCCACAUUGGGACUGAGACACGGCCCAGACUCCUACGGGAGGCAGCAGUAAGGAAUAUUGGGCAAUGGGCGAAAGCCCUGACCCAGCAACGCCGCGUGAGGGAAGAAGGGUUUCGGCUCGUAAACCUCUGUCCUAUGGGACGAAGGAAGUGACGGUACCAUAGGAGGAAGCCCCGGCUAACUACGUGCCAGCCGCUGC
RNAcentral lists this ribosomal RNA (500 nucleotides) under uncultured bacterium. RNAcentral's name for it is "bacterial SSU rRNA". It matches the Rfam family "Bacterial small subunit ribosomal RNA", at positions 17 to 518 of the family's 1533-position model. The record is from RNAcentral.